AUGCUGCUGUUGCUCCUGCUCCUCACGAGCGAUCAUCACGUGGAGGUGAAGGUGGAGGAAGGCUCAGAGUCUGUCACCCUGCACUGCAAAACAACACCUGACCUGCCUGAGAACACCAGAGUGGAGUGGACUCGCUCUGACCAUGAACUCUUGAUAGUUCAGGAGUAUUCAAACAAAGGUGGCAAACUUAUGAAACAGGACAAGUUUUACAGAGACCGAACAGAAAUGAAUGAAGACCUGCUGAAAACUUCAGCCUGACCCUGAAACAGCCCACAGAGAGAGACACAGGAGGAUACAUCUGCACCAUCUACAGGGACAAAGACAUCCUGAGACAGAAAGUAGUGCUGCACUAUGUCAGAGGUCAGAGCUGGUGGACAGUGGCUCAGAUUAACUUCAGAAUUCAAAGGUCAUAAUUUAUUUAUGCAUUUAUUUUUUGUUUCUCCACAGAAAAACUUCCACUUUGGGCCACAGCUGUCGUAGUUCUUCUUGUUCUUGUGUUUUUUGGGGGUCUCAUAUAUAGUUUUCAACACUAUUUCAUGUCAGGUGAGUCUCUUGUAUGGAACGCCAGGACUGCCAUAAUGAAUUAAAUACACCAUUAAAUAAUUAAUUAAAUGUGGCAACAAUUAAUUAAAAUUGGAAUUAAUUAGUUAAAUAAAUAGUUAUGACACAUGUAAUUAAAUUAUUGACACAUUUAAUUAAAUAUUUAAUGAUAUAUUUAUUUCAUUUUGGCAGUCCUGGCUCUCAUCAUGAAUUAAUUUUAUCUGUCAGACUCACCCAUCAAACUCAGGGGGCUUGUGACCUGCUGAUAAAAGAUGAACGACAGUCAGAAAUAUACUGAAACUCUAACAAAGGCAGAGGUUAAGAGUAAUUCAGGCUUUUCCUUGCAUGUUAUGUAGCUGAUACCUGCUGUCUUGUGUGGUCUCCUGGUUGUCUGGGCUGUUGUCAGCUGCAUGAGUGUUACUGCCUGCUACACAGAUUUCCUCAGACGGACGUGAUCUGACAUCACAUCUGUUAGUCUGACGUCUGUCCACAGUCGAAGACUCUAUGACUGAAGCAAAAAUGUCUUUAAACGCCGCCAGAGAGCGUUUGACAGUCUUAGGAGUGAUCAGUGACUUUGCUGUCAGAGGCACUGGAGCUCCUCCUAGAGGUUUUAAUGAAACUGCCGUGUUGCCAUUUUUGGGAAGAGCGAGUCUGGGAGAUUUGCUCUGUUUAGACUGUUUCUUCCUUUCUUUUUUAGGUUCAGGCCUCUUGAAGCUGCUGAGGCUUUGAGGACAUGUUCUCCAAAUCUUCAGCUACGUUGUUGACAUGCCACCAUCCGCCCAGGGCUCUCCUUCUCCAUUUUGCUGAAUCUGCUUCCGUGAGCCGCUCCUUAAGUCGACUUUGCGACACGGGCACUUUUGGUGUGACUGAUAGUUUUCCAAUAGGAUCGUGCUGAUAUCAGUCUGACUCUGAAAAACCCCACACAGGGAAACAUUGGGAGAGACACAUGUUACGUCUGGAGAAAGGGAGACAUGAUCAGAUCGAAAACAGUGAUGUUAAAAGUAACAGUUUCUCAGGUGCCAUUGUCUAGAUAUUGAACUUUGGUUUUAUUAUAUUAAUUUCCUCUUUAUGAUAGAAUGAACUUUAAUGUCCCCUUGUUUAACCUUCACCCAGGAGUACCCGAAGCUAGCGUGCAGCUAGCAGGCUGCACUCUGCUGGGACAGGACAAAGGACAAAGGCAUUAUGUUGUUGUUUUCUGAAUCUUUGGUUUUUAUUUAGCCUUUUCUCUAUUUUGUUCAAUGAGUCUUAGCUGCACACUGCCUUUGAAACACAUGUUCAACAAGAAGCCACAGAAACCUUUAUCACAUUAAAGUCUCAUUGUUUCUGUACCGAUUUUCAUGUAUUCUCAUGUGUUUGGCUCCCAGAGUGUCGAUUCCUCCUUCUGUCUCAUCUUCCUCUGUUCUCUGUUACCUGGUCUUUCAGAGUACUGUUAGGGUGAUAUUCUGCCAAGUGUGAAGUUGAUGAGCUUCACAGUUACAACAGGUUAACAUUUCUGAAUAACAUGAUGAAAGUACAAGCAUGAACAUUUUAAACAUGUUUUUAUAUUUAUUUAUAUUUCAACAAUAUGUUUGAAUGUUUUAAUCCAGCAGUUUAAGGUCGGGCUCAGACUAAAGUCUGUGCUAAGACGACACCAUUGCAAAAUGUUCGUUUUGUUUUUCAGAGGUGGGCUUUCUGCAUCAUUACCCUGUUGCAUAAUCUGAAUGAGCUAAAGGGCAUGAACUGAUAGCUUCAUAUUCUCCUUCAGGAUUAUCAGAUAGGGAGCAGAAUUCAUGUUCAUCAAGUGAGACAAAUUGUCCAGAAGCAGCAAAGCAGCCCAGACCAUCACACUACAACCGCCAUGUUUGACUGUUGGUGUGAUGUUCUUCUUAUGAAAUGCUGUUAUUUUCAGUGCAGAUGUAAGGGGACUAAGACUUUCCAGAAAGAUGAGCCUUUUGUCUCGCCAGUGCACAAUUAUUUUCCCAGAAGACUUGGGGAUCAUUGAGAUCAUUUUGGCAAAUGUGAGAUGAGCCUUCGUGAUCCUUUUGGUCAGCAGCAGUUCUCGUCUUGGGAUUCUCCCGGUGUUUGAGGAUGAAGCAGGGUUCCUACAACUUCAGCAAAGUUAGAUUUAAGACUUUUUUUGUCACUCAAUAUUUAACAAUAACAAAAAAAACUUAAAUUAAGAGUUAAAUUGAUUAAGAGUUAUAGACUAAACAGGGGUUAGAGGUCAACAUGUUGAAAUUUGCGUGUGAUCAGUGAUGAGGGGUUUCUGUAUUACCCCUGACAUGCUAUUUAUUUUACAGUCAGCAGACUUCAAGUCUGAAAGACUUUCUUCAAAACAUACAACAUGCCUCAUACACACUUACACUGCUGCUUUUAUCCAUGAUGAUUCUGGCUCACAGACAGGAAAAGAGAAAAUCAUGUCUUUGAAUGUUUGAGACAUUUUAAUAACAAUUAGUCUUAUUCUGAAUUUUUAUGGAUCUGAUCUGAAGUCUGAGGUGUUUCUUUGGAUGAUGUUAAAGACGGAGUACUGUCUCCUCGGUAACCUGGACCUCUGAAGGUUUGAUAGUUUUUUUCUUACUAACAUUAAAAAAUGAAGAAACCCGAAGGUUUAAUUUAGCGAUUCAGAGUCAGUAUUUUGAAAUCUUAAAAUGUAAAUUAUGAACCUGCAAAUCACCAAAAUCGGUUCACUUCUAUUACAUCAUCUCUGGUCAGGUCCUGUCAGGUUACAGCUAAAAAUCUAAUACAAGACCUGGUCUGAAUCAAAAUCAGUACCUUCCUCCUGAUUUAUGUGCUUAUUUAUGUAUAUAUGUAUGUAUUUAUGUAUUCUAGUCUUUCCCCCUGUCCUCUGCCCUUCUGCCCUCUCCUCCAGGCUGUCCUCAGGCCUGUAAGAUGCUGCUGUCAUGUUGUCGGUCAGGUUCUUUCUGAAAGAAGCAAACAUGAAGAUCAGAACUAAACACACAGACAACACACUGGUGAAACUGGAGCUAAAGAAAGACCAAGAAUUCAAAAUAAUGAAACAUUGAAAACUCACAGCAAACAGAACUUGGAGUAAUCCAGUAAGACUGGAACUCUACAUGCUGAGAUAGCAAACAAAUCAAGAACUAAAACACAGAUCACAAAGUAGAAAUCAACAUUAUCAAUAAAGACAGAAAUCAGAGAUUCAACUAUAUCACGAGGCUUCAGAUGCACUUUUAGAAUAUUGUUGAAGAAAAAAAUGCUUACAAUUAUUUGAAGUAUUACUAUACUUGUGCUGUUUUCUUCAUCCUGCAAAGCUGUUCAUGUUCAACAUGACUGAUGAACAGAUCCACACAGUCAUUCAGUUUGUUUGGAGGAAGCAGCUCAUCUGAGGUCAUGUGAUUAUCAGCAGGUUUCAGUGGAGCUGAUUUAACUCUUUGGUCCAACAGAGCAGCUCAGACAGAACUGUAGAGAUGAGCUGUGUUGAUCCUGAGGACUUAGUGAUGUGUAGAAAUAAUGAAACCUUGAUGUGUGACAGUUUCUGAGGCUCCAGGUUGAAGAUGUGUUUUAAAUCCGGUGCUUUGUUGAGUCAUAUUGUCCUACAAAGAAACCGAUCCUGACAGAAGACAGGAUCUGUGAUCAGAACUCCUUGAACUCUCUAAUGUUUCAUUUUAGGUCCACAAACACUUUCAGCAGUAAGUA
Long non-coding RNA from Oreochromis niloticus (Nile tilapia), 4176 nucleotides. NCBI's taxonomy places the organism in Eukaryota, Metazoa, Chordata, Actinopteri, Cichliformes, Cichlidae. The record is from Ensembl.